GUCCACGCCGUAAACGAUGAGAACUAGGUGUCGUGGGUGUUGACCCCUGCGGUGCCGUAGCUAACGCAUUAAGUUCUCCGCCUGGGAAGUACGGUCGCAAGACUAAAAACUCAAAGGAAUUGACGGGGGCCCGCACAAGCGGUGGAGCAUGUGGUUUAAUUCGACGCAACGCGCAGAACCUUACCUGGUCUUGACAUCUAUCGAACCUGCCCGAAAAGGUGGGGUGCCCGCAAGGGAACGGUAAGACAGGUGCUGCAUGGCUGUCGU
This 267-nucleotide ribosomal RNA is filed under the name uncultured bacterium. Its description in RNAcentral is "partial 16S ribosomal RNA". It matches the Rfam family "Bacterial small subunit ribosomal RNA", at positions 793 to 1055 of the family's 1533-position model. The record is from RNAcentral.